RNAcentral lists this ribosomal RNA (206 nucleotides) under uncultured bacterium. RNAcentral describes it as "partial 16S ribosomal RNA". It matches the Rfam family "Bacterial small subunit ribosomal RNA", at positions 1299 to 1500 of the family's 1533-position model. The record is from RNAcentral.
UGUAGUCUGCAACUCGACUACAUGAAGCUGGAAUCGCUAGUAAUCGCGAAUCAGAAUGUCGCGGUGAAUACGUUCCCGGGUCUUGUACACACCGCCCGUCACACCAUGGGAGGUUGGUAACGCCCGAAGUCUGUGACCCAACCAUUAAGGGAGGGAGCAGCCGAAGGCAGGUCGGAUGACUGGGGGUGAAGUCGUAACAAGGUAGC